GUGAAGGUGGUGUUUAACUGGCCCUGGCCCAGAAGGAGGCCAAGAAGGACGGGCCUCAGAGUGUCAGAGAAGUGCUCAUCACCCAUGGCCCUUGCCCAGCACCCCAGAUGAAAUGGUAUCAACUGGCCAAAGAGGAGCCUGCUGUUCGUGUUGUUAAAUAGCAUUUUGGUGUCAUCUUUGGAGGGGCAUCCCCGUACAAAUAUUUUGCACUUCAACAAGAUGACAUAUACUACUGUGGAAUAAAGUAGAUCAGAUAUAAUGUCAUCUUGAGUGAGCCUUCUGAAGACGCCCUAGCUGCUUGCCACCAGUCAAUUGAGAAAAAUAUUACCAUCUAUUAAGAACUUGGAGGACGAUGAGGUUGAAUUCAUCACUGCAAAUUUGCAGACAGAGUCUGCAGACAGACAGUGAUCCUGCCAGCAAUGUUCAUGACCUUAACAAGAAGCUCACAGCCUGUUUGUAUCUUAGCCUGGACAAGUGCUGGGUGGUCCCUCUGAAGACUUCAAUUGUUAUGCUGCCCAAAUACUGACUGGAGUUGCUUAUUAACAUCAAGGCUGUUCUGUCCCAAUCCUAUCUGAUUCAUGGACACAUGGCUAUCACUGAUGGCACUGAAAACACCAAGCCCUGGAGUUUCUUUAUAUAUCACUGUGCUGUGAUAAAGGAAACU
This 664-nucleotide long non-coding RNA is filed under the name Homo sapiens (human). Its description in RNAcentral is "non-protein coding lnc-NOS2-9:1". Lineage: Eukaryota; Metazoa; Chordata; Mammalia; Primates; Hominidae. The record is from RNAcentral.